CAAGAUAUAGCUUAACGAAAGCAUCUAGUUCACACCUAGAAGAUUUCACACGUUAUGAAUAUCUUGA
Molecule: transfer RNA, 67 nt
Filed under: Pseudois nayaur nayaur
Lineage: Eukaryota; Metazoa; Chordata; Mammalia; Artiodactyla; Bovidae
Description: tRNA-Val
Rfam family: tRNA
About the family: Transfer RNA (tRNA) molecules are approximately 80 nucleotides in length. Their secondary structure includes four short double-helical elements and three loops (D, anti-codon, and T loops).
Source: RNAcentral